GAGUUUGAUUAUAACUCAAGAUUGAACGCUGGCGGGAUGCUUUACCAUGCAAGUCGAACGCUUGGCACACGGACUUCGGUCUGGUGGCGAGUGGCGAACGGGUGAGUAAUGUAUCGGAACGUGCCUAAUGUGGCGAGGAUAACUACGCGAAAGCGUGGCGCUAAUGCCACAUACCGCCCUUCGGGGAAAAGCGGGGGACCUUCCGGGCCUCGCACUAUUAGAGCGGCCGAUAUCGGAUUAUUAGUUGGUGGGGUAACGGCUCACCAAGGCGACGAUCCCGUAGCUGGUUUGAGAGAGGACGCCCAGCCACACUGGGACUGAGACACGGCCCAGACUCCUACGGGAGGCAGCAGUGGGGAAUUUUGGACAAUGGAAACCCUGAUCCAGCCAUCCCGCGUGUCCGAUGAAGACAUUCGGGUUGUAAAGCACUUUUGGCAGGAAAGAAACGGCACGGGAUAAUACCCCGUGCAACUGACGGUACACAGAAUAAGCACCGGCUAUGCUGCUACGUGCCAGCAGCCGCGGUAAUACGUAGGGUUGCAAGCGUUAAUCGGAAUUACUGGGCGUAAAGCGUGCGCAGGUUCGGAAAGAAAGAUGUGAAAUCCCAGAGCUUAACUUUGGAACUGCAUUUUUAACUACCGAGCUAGAGUGUGUCAGAGGAGGUGGAGGUUACGUCAACUUGUUGAUAAAAUGAAUAUGCGGAAGACCACCGAUGGCAGAGGCGCAACCUCCUGGGAUAACACUGACGCUCAUGCACGAAGAGUGGGGAGCAAACAGGAUUAGAUACCCUGGUAGUCCACCGCCCUAAACGAUGUCAACUAGCUGUUGGGGCCUUCGGGCCUUGGUAGCGCAGCUAACGCGUGAAGUUGACCGCCUGGGAGUACGGUCGCAAGAUUAAACUCAAAAGGAAUUGACGGGGACCCACUACAAGCGGUGGAUGAUGUGGAUUAAUUCGAUGCGGCGCGAAAACCUUACCUGCUGCCGACAUGUCUGGAAUCCCGAAGAGAUUUGGGAGUGCUCGCAAGAGAACCGGAACACGGGUGCUGCAUGGCGCAUUAUUGAAACCAGUGUCGUGAGAUGUUGAGUUAGAGUCCCGCAACGAGCGCAACCCUUGUCAUUAGUUGCUCUGAAGGGCACUCUCGUGAGACUGCCGGUGACAAACCGGAGGAAGGUGGGGAUGACGUCAAGUCCUCAUGGCCCUUAUGGGUAGGCUUCACACGUCAUACAAUGGUCGGGACGGGGGUCGCCAACCCGCGAGGGGGAGCCAAUCCCAGAAACCCGAUCGUAGUCGGGAUCGCGGUCACGACUCGACUGCGUGAAGUCAGAAUCGCGUAAUCGCGGGGAUCAGCAUCGUCGCGGUUGAACGUACGUUCAAGGUCUUGUACACGCAACAAUCCCACACCAUGGGUGGGGUUUUACCAGAAGUAGUUAGCCUAACCGUAAGGAGGCGAUUUCCACCACAGUAGGAUUCAUGACACAGAGUUGAAGUCAUAACCAAGGUAA
Molecule: ribosomal RNA, 1503 nt
Filed under: uncultured Bordetella sp.
Lineage: Bacteria; Pseudomonadati; Pseudomonadota; Betaproteobacteria; Burkholderiales; Alcaligenaceae
Description: partial 16S-23S ribosomal RNA intergenic spacer
Rfam family: Bacterial small subunit ribosomal RNA
Source: RNAcentral